This 227-nucleotide small nucleolar RNA is filed under the name Sus scrofa (pig). RNAcentral's name for it is "Small Cajal body specific RNA 6 (ENSSSCG00070014121.1)". Lineage: Eukaryota; Metazoa; Chordata; Mammalia; Artiodactyla; Suidae. The record is from RNAcentral.
GAUCCUGUUGAAAAGUCGGUGAGGGGCUGACUGCCCGGGUCCCUCCCCAGCCGCCUCCCUCCCAGUGGGCUGCACUGGUGCUAUGGUGGGAACGGCAGGUGACCUGGUCCUGUGUGCCUGGCAGCCAGGGAAGAUGCCAUGUGGGCAUCCCACAGCUCAUCGCAAAGAGAUUUGAUUGCUGGGAAUGCUGAUAUCUUAAUUAUGAUGUGACAUUUCAAGCUGAGACC